Molecule: non-coding RNA, 46 nt
Organism: Ixodes scapularis (black-legged tick)
Lineage: Eukaryota; Metazoa; Arthropoda; Arachnida; Ixodida; Ixodidae
Source: Rfam
UCAACGGCUCUUUUCAGAGCCACCGAAUCGCUGCUUUAUCGCGCGC